CCUACGGGAGGCUGCAGUGGGGAAUAUUGCACAUUGGGGGAAACCCUGAUGCAGCGACGCCGCGUGAGUGAAGAAGUAUUUCGGUACGUAAAGCUCUAUCAGCAGGGAAGAAAAUGACGGUACCUGACUAAGAAGCCCCGGCUAACUACGUGCCAGCAGCCGCGGUAAUACGUAGGGGGCAAGCGUUAUCCGGAUUUACUGGUUGUAAAGGGAGCGUAGACGGCAGCGCAAGUCUGGAGUGAAAUCCCAUGGCUUAACCAGGGAACUGCUUUGGAAACUGGGCAGCUAGAGUGCAGGAGAGGUAAGCGGAAUUCCUAGUGUAGCGGUGAAAUGCGUAGAUAUUAGGAGGAACACCAGUGGCGAAGGCGGAUUACUGGACUGUAACUGACGUUGAGGCUCGAAAGCGUGGGGAGCAAACAGGAUUAGAUACCCUUGUAGUC
This 440-nucleotide ribosomal RNA is filed under the name uncultured bacterium. RNAcentral's name for it is "partial 16S ribosomal RNA". It matches the Rfam family "Bacterial small subunit ribosomal RNA", at positions 338 to 795 of the family's 1533-position model. The record is from RNAcentral.